GCCCUCUUGGUGGAAUUUGGUAGACACACCAGUCUUAGAAACUGGGAUGAAGUAAUAGUAGUGUGUGAGUUCGAGUCUCACAGGGGGUA
Molecule: transfer RNA, 89 nt
Filed under: Crassvirales sp.
Lineage: Duplodnaviria; Heunggongvirae; Uroviricota; Caudoviricetes; Crassvirales
Description: tRNA-Leu
Rfam family: tRNA
About the family: Transfer RNA (tRNA) molecules are approximately 80 nucleotides in length. Their secondary structure includes four short double-helical elements and three loops (D, anti-codon, and T loops).
Source: RNAcentral